GUUUAACAUGAUGGACUAUAGGACAGGACUGCUGCUUUUAACUCUCUGCUGGGCAGGUGUUGACGGUCAGACUCUGACUGAAUCUGAACCAGUGGUUAAAAGACCUGGAGAAUCUCACAGACUGACCUGUACAGCCUCUGGACUCACAAUCAGUGGCUACUGGAUGAACUGGAUCAGACAGGCUCCUGGAAAAGGCCUGGAGUGGAUUGCAACCAUCACUGGUGGCAGUAGCAGCAUCUACUACUCUCAGUCAGUCCGAGGCCGGUUUACCAUCUCCAGAGACGACAGCAGACAGCAGCUGUAUCUGCAGAUGAACAGUCUGAAGACUGAAGAUUCUGCUGUUUAUUAUUGUGCUCGAGAUCCACAGUGACUGAAGAUGGUUGAGCAGCUGUACAAAAUCUUUCAGUCCUCAUAUUUCUGACUACAUUUUUGUAAUAUUGAUACUAAAUAUUAAACAUUGUGUUUCAUUUUUUUCAAAUCAAAUGUUUUAUGUUCCAUAAAAUGUAAACGCAUUUUAAGAAUAUUAUUUUAUGUAUGAUAAUAAAUUAAUCU
Molecule: non-coding RNA, 552 nt
Organism: Toxotes jaculatrix (banded archerfish)
Lineage: Eukaryota; Metazoa; Chordata; Actinopteri; Toxotidae
Source: the annotation of a RefSeq genome assembly